Molecule: ribosomal RNA, 413 nt
Filed under: uncultured bacterium
Lineage: Bacteria
Description: bacterial SSU rRNA
Rfam family: Bacterial small subunit ribosomal RNA
Source: RNAcentral
UCGGGAAUAUUGCGCAAUGGAGGAAACUCUGACGCAGUGACGCCGCGUAUAGGAAGAAGUUUUUCGGAAUGUAAACUAUUGUCGUUAGGGAAGAGAAAGGACAGUACCUAAGGAGGAAGCUCCGGCUAACUACGUGCCAGCAGCCGCGGUAAUACGUAGGGAGCGAGCGUUAUCCGGAAUUAUUGGGUGUAAAGGGUGCGUAGACGGGAUAACAAGUUAGUUGUGAAAUCCCUCGGCUUAACUGAGGAACUGCAACUAAACUAUUAUUCUUGAGUGCAGGAGAGGUAAGUGGAAUUCCUAGUGUAGCGGUGAAAUGCGUAGAUAUUAGGAGGAACACCAGUGGCGAAGGCGACUUACUGGACUGUAACUGACGUUGAGGCACGAAAGUGUGGGGAGCAACAGGAUUAGAUACC